RNAcentral lists this ribosomal RNA (459 nucleotides) under uncultured bacterium. RNAcentral's name for it is "partial 16S ribosomal RNA". It matches the Rfam family "Bacterial small subunit ribosomal RNA", at positions 338 to 795 of the family's 1533-position model. The record is from RNAcentral.
CCUACGGGAGGCUGCAGUGAGGAAUAUUGGUCAAUGGCCGGAAGGCUGAACCAGCCAAGUCGCGUGAGGGACGACUGCCCUAUGGGUUGUAAACCUCUUUUACAAGGGAGGAAUAAAUGCUACGUGUAGCAUGAUGCCUGUACCUCAUGAAUAAGCACCGGCUAACUCCGGGCCAGCAGCCGCGGUAAUACGGAGGAUUCGAGCGUUAUACGGAUUUAUUGGGUUUAAAGGGUGCGUAGGCGGUUUUUUAAGUUAGAGGUAAAACGUCGGGGCUUCACCUUGGUUUGCCAUUGAUACUGUAAGGCUAGAGUUCAGGAGAGGUAAGCGGAAUAAGUAGAGUAGCGGUGAAAUGCUUAGAUAUAACUUAGAACUCCGAUAGCGAAGGCAGCUUACCGGACUGCGACUGACGCUGAGGCACGAGAGCGUGGGUAGCGAACAGGAUUAGAUACCCCAGUAGUC